This 345-nucleotide ribosomal RNA is filed under the name uncultured Streptococcus sp. RNAcentral describes it as "bacterial SSU rRNA". It matches the Rfam family "Bacterial small subunit ribosomal RNA", at positions 1034 to 1382 of the family's 1533-position model. The record is from RNAcentral. Lineage: Bacteria; Bacillati; Bacillota; Bacilli; Lactobacillales; Streptococcaceae.
ACAGGUGGUGCAUGGUGUCGUCAGCUCGUGUCGUGAGAUGUUGGUUAAGUCCCGCAACGAGCGCAACCCCUAUUGUUAGUUGCCAUCAUUCAGUUGGGCACUCUAGCGAGACUGCCGGUAAUAAACCGGAGGAAGGUGGGGAUGACGUCAAAUCAUCAUGCCCCUUAUGACCUGGGCUACACACGUGCUACAAUGGUUGGUACAACGAGUUGCGAGUCGGUGACGGCGAGCUAAUCUCUUAAAGCCAAUCUCAGUUCGGAUUGUAGGCUGCAACUCGCCUACAUGAAGUCGGAAUCGCUAGUAAUCGCGGAUCAGCACGCCGCGGUGAAUACGUUCCCGGGCCUU